This 433-nucleotide ribosomal RNA is filed under the name uncultured bacterium. RNAcentral describes it as "partial 16S ribosomal RNA". It matches the Rfam family "Bacterial small subunit ribosomal RNA", at positions 28 to 507 of the family's 1533-position model. The record is from RNAcentral.
GACGAACGCUGGCGGCAUGCCUAACACAUGCAAGUCGAACGAGACCUUCGUGUCUAUUGGCGCUCGUCUGCUUAACACCGGGGAAGUUACCCUUAGGUUCGCAAUAACUCCCCGAGAGGUGUGCUAAUACCACUUAAUCUCUUCGCACAAAGGAUCUAUCGCCUUUGGAUGGGCGCGCGUUGGUUUAGCUGGUUGGUAGGGUAAUAGCAUACCAAGGCGACGAUCCAUAGCUGGUCUGAUAGGAUGAUCAUUCAGAAUGGGACUGAGACACGGCCCAGACUCCUACGGGAGGGAGCAGUGGGGAAUAUUGGACAAGGGGCGAAAGCGUGAUCCAGCAAUGCCGCGUGAGUGAUGAAGGGCUUAGGGUUGUAAAGCUGUUUUAGCCGGGAUGAGAAUGACAGUACCGGGAGAAGAAGCUCCGGCUAACUACGUG